ACAAGCUGGGGCGGGGCUGCAGAGGAAACCGCUGUGGGCAGCACUGGAAGAGCAUGAGGGCUGCUGGCACAGGGGUAGACCGACCUCCUCUUCUGCCCACUUCCCGGAGUCUGAGCACAAGGCCUGCGGGAGGGCAGCCCAGGCCUCCAAGAACCUGAAGCAUCACUUCAUCUCACAAAAUGGAGUCAGUGCUGCAGCGGGUGGCACAAAGGAAUCUGGUUUCGUAGAGGAGAGACUGAAGAAAGUUGAAGCAAAAAGACGGGAGAACAGCCCGGCUCUUCCGAAAGUAACUUUCCUUUUAAGCUGUUCCUGCCACCGUACCUUUCUUCUGCCAACCUGGACUCAAACCCUCCGAAGCCGUAAGGCCGGUUAAAUGCUUCCUUUCCUAAGUGCCUUGGUCGAGACGUUGUGUCACAAAAAUAGAAAAGUUACUAAUGCAACAUGUCUGAAAACAAACAAACAAACAAGUAAAUUAUAUAAAAGCAGCGGGCACAGUGGUGCAAGCCUGUAAUCCCAGCACUGGGGAGGCAGAGGCAGGUGGGUCACUGUGAGUUCGAGGCCAGCCUGGUCUACAAAGUGAGUCCAGAACAGCCGAGGCAACACAGACAAAGCCUGUCUCGAAAAACAAAACAAAAUUAUAUAAAAGCCAGGCAAGGUGGUGCAAACCUUUAGCCCUUGGGAGGCAGAGGAAGGUGGAUCUCUGCCAGUUCUAGGCCAGCCAAGGCUAUUCAGUGAGACCCUGCCUCAAAAACAGACACAAAAACAUUUUAAGCAAAAAUACACAAUCAAUAUUCUCAAGUUUAUACCGAUAAUGAUUGAGUGAGUUCGUAAGUGGAGAGAAGAGACAGUCUCCCAUGUAGAAAAAUUCUAAGAGAUAUAUAGAAUUCCUCAGGGGUGGCGAUCUUAAGAGACGCACCGCGUAUGAAUUGGAGGUUGGAAAGCCAGGGACGUUGCUACAGUGGACAGUCUUUCAAGCCCCAGCCAGCACACUGGCUCACCUUCAAUCGGCAUGAAUUCAGAGACUCGUCACCGGUCCAAGUCCCAAGAAUAAAUGAUGGUUGGAUGCCAGAUUAUAAGCGGGACACCUGCAUCACCCUCUCCAAGACUCGGGGAACAUCAAGGGGAAAGGGCAGAGGAAUAUAAAAGCCAGACAAGGGGGGUGGCAGUGUGGAGCACUGACCCCUAGUGUGUUGCACUCACAUUUAUGG
Molecule: long non-coding RNA, 1208 nt
Organism: Meriones unguiculatus (Mongolian gerbil)
Lineage: Eukaryota; Metazoa; Chordata; Mammalia; Rodentia; Muridae
Exons: 3
Source: RefSeq, a predicted model, not a curated record